ACAGGUACAGCUCAGUGGUAGAGUGCAUGCUUACAUGCACAAGGUCCUGGGUUCAAUCCCCAGUACCUCCU
Molecule: transfer RNA, 71 nt
Filed under: Camelus bactrianus (Bactrian camel)
Lineage: Eukaryota; Metazoa; Chordata; Mammalia; Artiodactyla; Camelidae
Also listed under: 2 other names
Rfam family: tRNA
About the family: Transfer RNA (tRNA) molecules are approximately 80 nucleotides in length. Their secondary structure includes four short double-helical elements and three loops (D, anti-codon, and T loops).
Source: Rfam by way of RNAcentral